CUGACCGAAGAGCUCCGUCAGGUGUUCAGGGAGCAGUGUGACCCACAGGAGUGCACGUGCCUUCUGAAACAGGCAGCACCCACAGAGGCAGUGGAAAGCAACGUUGAGGAAGACAUAAAGUAAUUUCAGGAGAGUCUAGUGCUGUAUAACAUAAGCUCAGGAAAUUGUUUCAAUGCAUACUAAACCCUCAAAUGAAAAUAUUCCCAUGUAAAAUUUUCUAAUCCCUUGCAACCCUCUGUGGAAGAGGAAAAGCAAGGGCAGAUUCAAAAUCUCUGCUGGACUGAAGCACUCAAUUCCUGACUGUUAGGCAGUUGGCUAACUCAUCUAAUUCAAGUAUGCA
This is a long non-coding RNA of Oxyura jamaicensis (ruddy duck), 340 nucleotides long. RefSeq lists it as uncharacterized. NCBI's taxonomy places the organism in Eukaryota, Metazoa, Chordata, Aves, Anseriformes, Anatidae. The transcript has 3 exons. The record is from RefSeq and is a predicted model, not a curated record.